Lactuca sativa (garden lettuce) is the source of this 2598-nucleotide non-coding RNA. Lineage: Eukaryota; Viridiplantae; Streptophyta; Magnoliopsida; Asterales; Asteraceae. The record is from RefSeq and is a predicted model, not a curated record.
UGUUGAGAAGUGUGCUGCCCCAUCUUGGGAUAUCAUAUCACAUCUCCUUUUAAAAUCCCUUAUUUCUCUUUGUACAAACCCUAAAACACUAUAAUAAGAAUAUACAAAAUGAGAGGCAAAAUGACUUACAAUUAAUCGAGAAUUCGAGAUUGUAGAGGUGAGAUGGAGACGUGAUAAUCUGAAGGUGCUCAAGCGAUCGGAGUUGUGGAAGUCGGAGAGGCACUCCGGACGGAGAGACUGAGAGACCGAGCGGCGGCGACGAUUCGGCGACUCCGGAGCCGGAGAAGAAACCGGUUGUGACGGAGAGGGCGAGAAUAAGGAGGCGGAGACAUAAUUAAGAGUUAUAAGUUUCUGGUUUUAUCUUUGAUACGUUUUCCACUUCUUUCUUUACCUUGUAGGUUAUUAAAUAGUUCAAAUUUUCAAAAAAAAAAUUGUACAAUAUCCCCACUUCUGUCAAAAUAGCUUCCGUCAAAAUAGGAUAGUUAGCUAUUUUGAAUUUGUAGCUUUUAUUUUAGUGGCUUCCGAUUCUUUUAGUUUCUCAAAUAUAUGCCUCUCUUUGGGAUUAACUUGAAAAUAAUUUCAAUGCUUAAUCCAUUAUUACAAAAGCUGUAGGGGCCGAUUUGUUGUUAUUUCUCAGAAAAUAGAGUUUACGGUUGUUGUUUGUAUAAUAUUUUCUAUUUAGAAGAUAGAAAAUCGGGGGGGGGGGGGGGGGGGGGGGGGGGAUGGCCUCCCCUGGCCCCUUCUUAGCUCCGCCACUAGGUGCAUCACCCUUUCAGCUUCCAUUGCCUUUUAGUGCUAAUCUCGAAACCCUAGCCAUAUUGAGUGCAUUUGUAUCUUACAUAUAGUGUUUGGGGGUUCUUUUGUGGUUUUGACAAAGAAGGAAAGGAGAAUAAUGAGCUUGUAGAUCUAGAAUUUGUGCAUCAUUUCUAGCCUAUUGAAUGUAUAAAGUCUGAAACUUGUUCAUUCUAAGCUUAUAUCUAGGUUUAAGGAUGAUUUUAGCAUCUUUUAGUCCCAUAACUUGGUCUUUUGGAGUAUGGGCUACUCGAGGCCAUUUAAGUUGUCCUUUGGGACUCUUGGGAGUGCAUGAAGUCAUAAAAAUAUUAUCUUGAAGGUUAAGACUCAACCAUGCAUGAGUUGGUGACCACCUAAGUGAGUUAAAGGGCUUAAUUCAUAGUUUGAGCCUCAAUAAGGCAUGCAAGAGCAUAAGGUUUGCAACUUUAUGACUUAAGACACUAUUAUGAGCUUGGAUCUAAGUUUUGGAUGUUAGGGCUUAAUGGAUUAAUUCAUGGGUGCAAGUUUGGGUUGACUGACCAAUACGUCGGGCGCCCUCUAGAUUACGCUGCGUGUACUGGGUCAGUGCCCCAAUUUCAGAUCAUCAGUGUAUGUUGGGUGUACGAGCCAUGUAUGUUGCGCGUACGUAGUCUGUGGACUUAAAAGAUUUUUGGGCUCAAAUCUGGUUGAGUUUUUUACUUGUUUAGGAUUGGGCCUCUGGCCCACCUGUUGUAGCAAGACAUUUGGUGGGAUUAAGGCCAUGUUGGGUGCUCUUGGGCCAUAUUGGGCCUUAAAGGACUUUGUAGUUGGGCUUGGAUGCCUUUUUGGACUUGUAUGGUUUUAGGACUUGGUGGGAGGGAGGCCCAUUGAGGCAAGGGUGAAGAAACCCUUUUUUCCUUAAGUCAAGAAUGAGGGUUUGGAAUUUCAGGUUAGGAUAUUGGCCCAAUCUCUAAUUAGGGUUUAUACUUGUGCCUUAGGGAGAGGAUUUCGCAAGUCAUCCAUUAAGUGCGAUUUUAUACCUUCAGUCUGAGGUACUUCCAGUUCGAAAGGGAAGGGACCGACCUGAUCGCACCGUAUCACCCUAUCGUUUCCGCAUUUUGAGAUUUUGGGAAUUUUUACUCUGAUAACACGUUGCUAUGAUACACUUUUGACAAUUUUGAUAUUAGUAUCGUAUGAUUUGAAUGAAUUUAAAAACAAAAUUUUAUUCAUAUAUUUGGGAUGUUACAAAUUUUAAAAACAAAUAGUUAAAUUUGUGGAAUUAUGUCACAAAAUCUUAAGUUUAACAUAUUUUGCUAAUGAGGAUGAAUCAACCAAUACAAAGAAAAAGUUACGUACAAGCCUUUACAUUUUCAAAUAUUAUUCUAAAAGUACAUGCUUUUGUAGCGGUGUGAAUACUUGAUCAAAUUCAAGUGAGCAUCAGGGAUUACGCGUGAUCAUCAUGGAUCUCGUGUGAGAAUUAUGGAUGCUCACAAGUUGAAGAUGCUCAAGGAGGAUCCUUAUCAGUUGAAUAUGCUCGAGGAGGACGCUUAUCAGUUGAAUAUGCUCAAGGAGGACGCUCAUCAAUUGAAGAUGCUUAAGGAGGAUGCUCAUUGGUUGACGAUGCUCAUGAGGUUGAAGGUUCCAAAAGCGUCCACAUGACAUUCCAUGAUUGGUUGGAAAUUAGGGCAUCCCCUUCAUAGGCUAAUUAUGAAUGGGCAUGACCCAUCAGAAUCAGGGGUUUCACAUGCUUGCUUAUGAAUAGGUGCAUAUCCCUAUUCAUUAUUUUUUGUGAGUACAUGUUUGAGUGUAUGAACACAAUAAUUUCAGGAAAAUUGAGUAAUCUAUCUA